CCUGUAUAUUGCCGCCAAUUUCUCGGCAUUUCCAGCGGUUCAAACGUUUCUUCUGGGUUUUAGGCAAUUGCCUGGGUUUCCGUUAUUUGAAAAAGGUGUUUAAUCCCCCGAUCAAUCUAGUGGAAGGGGUGAGUCGGCCAGUGAUGUCGAGAUGAGUGCGACACCUACGUGCAUCAACGUUAAGUGGACCUUAAAGACAUCGUCAGCACCGAGAUUUGCCAGCUGGAAACGCAGUGGGGCUACACGCAAUGGAGGCACGCGUACCAC
Molecule: long non-coding RNA, 267 nt
Organism: Amphibalanus amphitrite
Lineage: Eukaryota; Metazoa; Arthropoda; Thecostraca; Balanomorpha; Balanidae
Exons: 2
Source: RefSeq, a predicted model, not a curated record